GUGCUUGAUUAGCAGCACAUGUACUAAAAUUGGAGUUAUAAGAAGAUUGGCAUGGCCCCUGCUCAAGGAUGACACACAAAUUCGUGAAUCAUUCCAUAUUUUU
This 103-nucleotide small nuclear RNA is filed under the name Spermophilus dauricus (Daurian ground squirrel). Lineage: Eukaryota; Metazoa; Chordata; Mammalia; Rodentia; Sciuridae. The record is from RNAcentral.